Molecule: ribosomal RNA, 407 nt
Filed under: uncultured bacterium
Lineage: Bacteria
Description: partial 16S ribosomal RNA
Rfam family: Bacterial small subunit ribosomal RNA
Source: RNAcentral
AUUGAACGCUGGCGGCAGGCCUAACACAUGCAAGUCGAACGGAGUGGCGGACGGGUGAGUAAUGUCUGGGAAACUGCCUGAUGGAGGGGGAUAACUACUGGAAACGGUAGCUAAUACCGCAUACUAUCAGAUGAGCCCAGGUGGGAUUAGCUAGUAGGUGGGGUAAAGGCCCACCAAGGCGACGAUCCGUAACUGGUCUGAGAGGAUGAUCAGCCACACUGGAACUGAGACACGGUCCAGACUCCUACGGGAGGCAGCAGUGGGGAAUAUUGCACAAUGGGCGAAAGCCUGAUGCAGCCAUGCCGCGUGUGUGAAGAAGGUCUUCGGAUUGUAAAGCACUUUAAGUUGGGAGGCGUUACCAACAGAAUAAGCACCGGCUAACUUCGUGCCAGCAGCCGCGGUAAUUC